UGUCAUCUCUCCCAGCCUCCCUCCGUGCCGACCCGCCUCGCACGUGUGGAUCCCGAGGCUCUGCCCAGCCUGGGGUCAGCUCCAGGAAGCUGGCUGCCAGCCCCACCUGCCAGUUUCCACGGCGACACUCGCCAGCACUGAGCCUGCCGCAGCAUCCGUCCCUGUUUGGUUGUGAGUGUUGGCUCCAUGCCCCAAGGGACUGCACUGUGCUGCUGUGCACAGAGUGAUGCCAGGAGAUCGUUUUUGGUACCCCUGUUUUGGAGAUAAGGAAACUGAUGAUCAGAAGGGCUCCAUGACUUGCCCAGGGUCACACUCCGGCUGCCCUGGUCCUCAUCACAGCAAAAAGCACCAUCGAACACGCUGCUGCCCAAAAGAUCCAAACUCCCUCGCCUGACCUACAAGACCCUGAGGAGCUGAAGCUACACUCCAGGCUUCUGCGGGGAGACAUUCCAGUCAGGAGCUGUAGUGCUGACCCUUUUGAAGUUCUUCUCCCAAGGCCCUCCCAGUGCACGGCCUGUGCUGAUCGCCUUGUAAGAAGCUCUCCGGGGCACCUGACCCUCAGCAUUACCUCAUCUGAGAAGAGAGGAGACCUCAGUGUGUCAAGGGAAGGCUCGGGAUUGGUGCAGAUGGGAAGGAAAUAGAUGGAUAGGAUGACUCCAAGAGGCUUGGCAAGUCUGGGGUAUUACUCUCUCCCCAGCCCAGCUAGAAUCUCUGGGGAGAUGCUGAAGGACACUGGGCCCCACUUGGCAAGGGAAGCAGGACGAGGAUUUUGCUUGGAAAUUUUCACCUUCUUUUACUUCUGGUCAUUGUUUGAGGCUGGACAGUGCUUUCCAGAAGCCACAGAAUAGGGAAUUUACAGGCUACAGUUAGGAAGCCUUGUGCCUUCCCUACAUGCUGCAUGCUACAAUUUCCCUCCUCCGUGGAAAUGGAGAACCUGGAGAUCCUCCCACCACAAAGCCCUUUGUGCUCGUGAGAGCUGAGCCCUGUGAAAACAAUACAAAUGCAUAUUUAUCAAGCCUUUAUCGUGUACCAACCAUCCUCAAUGCUUUAAUGCCUAAAGUAAUUUAUUGUUCACGAUAGUCCUUGGAGAGGGUAUUAUUUGAUGAGAUGAGGGUUUGGAGCUCCUAUCUCCCUGACCCUGCUCUGCCAGGGUGGCAGGAGGUGUGGGAAAGCCUUUCCCCACCUCUAACCCCUUUUGGAGCUGAAGUCUCUGCAUUCCCCAGGAAAGCACCCUAAAGACAAUCAGGGGCAAUCCUGCGGAGACCACCUCUUUGGUGCUAUUCUGCUAUAGAUACAGCUGGAGUUGACACAAGUUCCACAAUCUUAGGUAUGACCGACAGUAGCUAUCAGAAUGGUGCCUGGAAUAUGGUGGGCAUUUUAAAAAAUAUGCGGUGAAUAAGUGAAUUUAUUGAGCAUCUACUUAGUGUCAGUGCUCGAGAAGAUAAUUUGCACACCUUGUCUCAUUUAAGCCACACACAAACCCCUAAGUAGCUAUUGUGAAUUCUAUUUAACAGAUGAGGAAAUAGCAGCUCAGAGAGAAUAAGUAGCUUAACCGAGGCCAAACAACUAAUAAAUGUUGAAGCUGAGAUUUGUCCCUAGGACUGUUUGACUUGCCUCUAACAGCUUAGGUGCUUGAUUAAUACUUGUUAGGCGGCAAAUGAAAACUGGGCCACUGACAGCUCUGCCUGGGAUAAAAACACCAACAUCGUGCAUCCAGCCCCUUGGGAAGAUGCGUUCUGGCGGUGGGAGAGGAUCUGGAACAUGGCUACUGCUUGGUUUCUUAGCUUUCCCCACCCCCAGCCCCCUGGCUUUCAAUUUAGCCCUAUCCACUCUGCUAAUGGAUGACCCACGCUCCCAACUUCCCCCCAAGCCCUGCCUAAGCUGCAGCUGUGAAAUCGUAGUGACAGAUCCGGUUUAGUUCCCAGGAUGAGCCCGUGAUUAUGUCUGCCUCAGCAGGGAGGUGACCGCUUCUCCAUCCUUGCCCUGUGACAAAUGAGCUCUCGUUCUCAUUCAGGUAAUUCCGACACACCACCUCCUCCAUCAAGCCUUCCUGGCUUGACUAAAUGUUGGCUGUCAGCUGACAGAAGUCCUUCCAUCCACCCAGAGAAAGCUUUGGACCCAGAUUUCAGCCAGAGUCUGUCCCUGUCUUCUUGGAUUAUUGACGGGACAUCUCUGUGAGGGUUUAGCUCCCAGCAAGGAAGUCUCCCUAUUGAUCCCGAGGGAAGCCCUCUUUCAAGCAGGAGCUGUCUGGCAGAGCCUAAUUCACCAGCUCCCAUUUCCAAAGGGCCUCAUGGGGUAAACCCAGUAGUCGAGGGUGUUUUGUACGAAGUGAAGGGGCAGAAGGGAGCAGGGAGGAGAGAGAGAGAGACAGAGAGAGAAAGAAUUUGGGGCGUAAAAGCUUCCUUUAAAAGGAGGCAGGGAACGUUUCCUAGGGGACGUUCUGCUGAGGGUCACUGGAUAAACCAAAACAACCAGAGUCUGCACCCCGGGUUCCAAUGAAGAUGUGCUGUAACUCCAGCCUCAGAGAUUUCGGCACACGGAGGAACUUUAUGUUUAGAUUUUGGGAUUCUUCCAGACUUCAGCUGUGAAAAUCCCUUUCCCUCCCUCAGUGCAGUCUCAGGAACUUGGAAUAAAGAGUUUUUGAGAUCACGUUAAAAGCCUACUCAUUUUACAGAUUAGAAAACCGAGGCCCCAAGUGUUGCUUCAGGCCCGCAGCGGGUCCCUCCCUGUAGGCAGCUCACGCCUCCCCAUGUUCAUGGAGGGAGGCUGGCGGCAGGAAGGGGCCUUGGGGCCAGGACAGAACACUUCGUGCCUCUCAUUCCUCCCCUGUCCUCUCCUUUCCCGCUUCCUGAGGCAGUAUUUCCAGGCUGGCAGAGCAGGGUGGGGUGCAGAGAAGGCUCUGCAGGGAAGGGGGGCCUGCAGGGCCAGGGUAGACACCAGUGACAAGAGCAAUUUAUUUCCUGGGCACACAGAUUAGACGGCAACUGAGAAAUUCUCCCUCUGCCAUCCAUCAGCUGGCCACCUCCAGCGGCCUCCGUGGGGUCAGGAUAUUUGUCUUGACUGCACUGCUCUGCCACUUUACUUGUGCUCCCGUGGCUCAAGCCAUACCAGAGACCCCCAAACCAGCAGAAGGAAUCAAACCCAAAGCUUGUUCACAAAGCUAGUACCUUAUACACUGCACCUGUCUGCUCCCACCCUGGGCUGCACAGACUCCCCGAAGGACAUGAUGUAUUUCCUCAGGGCCUGCAGGGAACAAGGGGCUUCUCUUAGUGCACUGCACUGGAUGGGAAGGGAGUAGCCCCUGGAGACUCUGCCCAGGUGUCUGGGCUCAUUGGGAUUUUCCCAGCCUGCUUUGACAAGAGGGUGUUGGAUGAAAGUACUGUUAGCUGAAGGGGUUGGCAAACUUUUCCUAUAAAGGGCCAGACAGUGAAUAUUUUAAGCUUGCAGACCAUAAGGCCUCUGUCACAACCUCUCAGCUCUGCCACUGUAGUGCAAAAGCAGCCACAGACAAUAUAUAAAUAAAUCAAGUAGCCGCAUUCCAAUAAAACUUUAUUUAUAAAAAACAGGUGACUGGCCAUAUGCAAAUGUCUCAAACUCUUAGGAAUUUGGAGAGCCUUCCCCUUCUUAGGAAGACAUAUCAACUAAUAAUUAUCAUGAUAAAUUUUACAAUGAAAAGCUGGAAAUCAAGAAAUGAGGCCACUGGGGUUUACCCUAAAUUCUAAUACAGGGAACCUAUGCAUUGUCUCACCAAGUCUGAGAAACCAAUGGGUCUGCUUUUUCGUGGAUUUGGGGCUAUUAUCUCUUGCAACAUCUUUAAUCAGUGUUGGACAGGAGUGUGUAGGAGUUCAGAGAACAGGCUCUGCAGUCUAUCGAUCCUUAUUCUACUACUAACUGUAUGACCUUAACCUCACUUGUCUCAGUUUCCUCUUCUGUACAAUGGGGACAAUAGCAAUUUACCCUCGCAGGAUCAUGGUGGAGCUGAAUGAGUUAUUACAGGUAAUGCGCUAUGCCUGGCUCAUGGUCAGUCCUCAGAUGUUGCCAGAUGCUAGAACUGAUCCAGAUCCGUCACUAAACACUGCCCGGGGCUGGCUAAUCUUCGGUGAUGUGAGAGGUUGAGGUGCGAGGACACUGUCCCUGUUAGACGGGCAAUAGGUGACCAUCCUCAGCCAGGUACCUUGGCAUUGGGCAUUGGGAUUUCUCUUUUGCCUUUGCCUAUUUUUAUUAGAAUAGAAUUAUAACAAGGAGAAGGAGAAAAAGGACAUGGAAACUACAUUUAUUGAGUUGCUACACUGGGCUGGGCAGGGUUAAGUGCUUUACACAUUUUAUUUCAUAAAAUCCACACAAUAACCCUGUGAGGUAGACAUUUGUGUCCUUGCUUUAUAGACAAAGAAAUUAAGUCUCAGAAAGGUUAUGUGACGUGGUCAAGGUCACGCAGACUGCCUAAUUACAAGUUCAUUCUUUCAUCAAAUAUUGCUUUUUCAGCAACUAUAUGUCAGACAGACAUAAUUUGUGAAACAGAGACAGAUAAAACCAGCUCAUGGUCGAGAUGGGGGAGAUGAGAAUUUAAAUCAAUUAUUAAGGUGGAUUUGAUUACAAAGGAAAGUUUGGGGAACCAGAAAGUCUUCACCAAGGAGGAGGUACUCAAACUGAGUCUUGAAGGAUGAAUGGGAGUCUACUGGGAGGGCAAGGAGAAAUAACAUCAUAUGCAAACACACAGGCAUUAAGUAACAUGGUUCUUUGGAGAACAGACAUUCAUUGCUCUGGAGGGUUGCCGGGGCAAGCAGUGGGCAAAGAGGUUGGAGAGGCAGGUCCCAAGGGGUUUAGGGAAGCCCUUGUGGGUCAUGAGGAAGAGUUUGAACUUGGUCUGCAUGCAAUGUGGGGGGCAUCUAAAGGGUUUUAAGCAGGGCAGCAACAGAACCAAAUUAUGUUUUAGAAAUAAAUAAUGAAGGUUGGUCUGGAAGGUGAAUGGGGCAGGAAACAGGAAGACCCUCUGAAAGACAACCAAAAUAAUCCAGGGGAAAAAUGAUGAGGGGGUUAGCUAAAAAGUGGCAGUGUGUCUAGGGGGGGAUAAGUCUGGUUUGGAAGAUAUUGA
Balaenoptera acutorostrata (minke whale) is the source of this 5092-nucleotide long non-coding RNA. RefSeq lists it as uncharacterized. NCBI's taxonomy places the organism in Eukaryota, Metazoa, Chordata, Mammalia, Artiodactyla, Balaenopteridae. The record is from RefSeq and is a predicted model, not a curated record. The transcript is spliced from 3 exons.